GGCAACUUAGCCGAGCGGUUAAGGCGAUAGUUUUAGGUACUAGUUUAAAAGAGCGAGAGUUUAAAUCUCUUUAGUUGUCA
RNAcentral lists this transfer RNA (80 nucleotides) under Pseudogymnoascus destructans 20631-21. Its description in RNAcentral is "tRNA-Leu (TAG) (tRNA-Leu-TAG-2-1)". It matches the Rfam family "tRNA". Rfam says of the family: Transfer RNA (tRNA) molecules are approximately 80 nucleotides in length. Their secondary structure includes four short double-helical elements and three loops (D, anti-codon, and T loops). Further hydrogen bonds mediate the characteristic L-shaped molecular structure. tRNAs have two regions of fundamental functional importance: the anti-codon, which is responsible for specific mRNA codon recognition, and the 3' end, to which the tRNAs corresponding amino acid is attached (by aminoacyl-tRNA synthetases). tRNAs cope with the degeneracy of the genetic code in two manners: having more than one tRNA (with a specific anti-codon) for a particular amino acid; and 'wobble' base-pairing, i.e. permitting non-standard base-pairing at the 3rd anti-codon position. Lineage: Eukaryota; Fungi; Ascomycota; Leotiomycetes; Thelebolales; Thelebolaceae. The record is from RNAcentral.